RNAcentral lists this ribosomal RNA (1298 nucleotides) under uncultured bacterium. RNAcentral describes it as "bacterial SSU rRNA". It matches the Rfam family "Bacterial small subunit ribosomal RNA", at positions 114 to 1399 of the family's 1533-position model. The record is from RNAcentral.
CGCGUAGGUAACCUGCCUGGUAGCGGGGGAUAACUAUUGGAAACGAUAGCUAAUCCCGCAUAACAGUAGAUGUUGCAUGACAUCUGCUUGAAAGGGGCAAUUGCUCCACUACCAGAUGGACCUGCGUUGUAUUAGCUAGUUGGUGAGGUAACGGCUCACCAAGGCGACGAUACAUAGCCGACCUGAGAGGGUGAUCGGCCACACUGGGACUGAGACACGGCCCAGACUCCUACGGGAGGCAGCAGUAGGGAAUCUUCGGCAAUGGACGGAAGUCUGACCGAGCAACGCCGCGUGAGUGAAGAAGGUUUUCGGAUCGUAAAGCUCUGUUGUAAGUCAAGAACGAGUGUGAGAGUGGAAAGUUCACACUGUGACGGUAGCUUACCAGAAAGGGACGGCUAACUACGUGCCAGCAGCCGCGGUAAUACGUAGGUCCCGAGCGUUGUCCGGAUUUAUUGGGCGUAAAGCGAGCGCAGGCGGUUUGAUAAGUCUGAAGUUAAAGGCUGUGGCUCAACCAUAGUUCGCUUUGGAAACUGUCAAACUUGAGUGCAGAAGGGGAGAGUGGAAUUCCAUGUGUAGCGGUGAAAUGCGUAGAUAUAUGGAGGAACACCGGUGGCGAAAGCGGCUCUCUGGUCUGUAACUGACGCUGAGGCUCGAAAGCGUGGGGAGCGAACAGGAUUAGAUACCCUGGUAGUCCACGCCGUAAACGAUGAGUGGCUAGGGGGUGGGUCCUUUCCGGGAUUCAGUGCCGCAGCUAACGCAUUAAGCACUCCGCCUGGGGAGUACGGACCGCAAGGUUGAAACUCAAAGGAAUUGACGGGGGCCCGCACAAGCGGUGGAGCAUGUGGUUUAAUUCGAAGCAACGCGAAGAACCUUACCAGGUCUUGACAUCCCGAUGCUAUUUCUAGAGAUAGGAAGUUACUUCGGUACAUCGGUGACAGGUGGUGCAUGGUUGUCGUCAGCUCGUGUCGUGAGAUGUUGGGUUAAGUCCCGCAACGAGCGCAACCCCUAUUGUUAGUUGCCAUCAUUCAGUUGGGCACUCUAGCGAGACUGCCGGUAAUAAACCGGAGGAAGGUGGGGAUGACGUCAAAUCAUCAUGCCCCUUAUGACCUGGGCUACACACGUGCUACAAUGGUUGGUACAACGAGUUGCGAGUCGGUGACGGCGAGCUAAUCUCUUAAAGCCAAUCUCAGUUCGGAUUGUAGGCUGCAACUCGCCUACAUGAAGUCGGAAUCGCUAGUAAUCGCGGAUCAGCACGCCGCGGUGAAUACGUUCCCGGGCCUUGUACACACCGCCCGUCA